RNAcentral lists this ribosomal RNA (575 nucleotides) under uncultured Stemonitidae. RNAcentral describes it as "bacterial SSU rRNA". It matches the Rfam family "Eukaryotic small subunit ribosomal RNA", at positions 27 to 555 of the family's 1831-position model. The record is from RNAcentral. Lineage: Eukaryota; Evosea; Eumycetozoa; Stemonitida.
UAUGCUUUUCCUAAAGCUUAAGCCAUGCAUGUCUUCGACUAAGAGGAAGCGAUUCUCUCUGAAUCUGCGAACGGCUCCGCAAACCAGUUGUAAACCGAGGCAGGGUUCCCUUCCCGCGGUUCCGCUUCGGUGGGACUGCGGGUUAAUAUAUGGAUAACCGUGGUAAUUCUGAGGCUAAUACAUGACGUACAAAACCUCGCUCCGGGCUUGCCCGGGGCGGGGGGGCGUGCGACUUAAGGCUGGGGUAACAUCCAUGACAGAACGCACGCUCGGACCACCGUUAAGGGUGAAGGGCCUCGGCUCGGAUCCUGGUGGCCCCCGCAAUGUGCUUCUGACCUAUCAACUAGGCGGCAGCAUAAGGGACAUGCUAUGGUGACAACGGGUACAGAGGAUUAGGGUUCGAUCCUGGAGAGCGGGCCUGAGAGAUUGCUCAUACUUCUAAGGAAGGCAGCAGGCGCGCAACGUUCCCCAUGGGCAUCGCUCGAGGGCGUUAUGGGAAAUAUGAAUGGCUGCCUUUACGGUGGCCAAUUCAAAUGGGUCUGUUGUAAAUAGGCUCUCGAGUAACAAUUAGAGGA